Molecule: ribosomal RNA, 500 nt
Filed under: uncultured bacterium
Lineage: Bacteria
Description: partial 16S ribosomal RNA
Rfam family: Bacterial small subunit ribosomal RNA
Source: RNAcentral
AUUGAACGCUGGCGGCAUGCCUUACACAUGCAAGUCGAACGGCAGCACGGGAGCAAUCCUGGUGGCGAGUGGCGAACGGGUGAGUAAUGUAUCGGAACGUGCCCAGUCGUGGGGGAUAACGCAGCGAAAGCUGUGCUAAUACCGCAUACGAUCUAAGGAUGAAAGCGGGGGAUCGCAAGACCUCGCGCGAUUGGAGUGGCCGAUAUCAGAUUAGCUAGGUGGUGGGGUAAAGGCUCACCAAGGCGACGAUCUGUAGCUGGUCUGAGAGGACGACCAGCCACACUGGAACGAAGACACGGUCCAGACUGCUACGGGAGGCAGCAGUGGGGAAUUUUGGACAAUGAGAGCUAGCCUGGUCCAGCAAUGCCGCGUGCAGGAUGAAGGCCUUCGGGUUGUAAACUGCUUUUAUACGGAGCGAAAAGGCUCUCUCUAAUACGGGGGGCUCAUGACGGUACCGUAAGAAUAAGCACCGGCUAACUACGUGCCAGCAGCCGCAGUAA